CACUUCGGUCCGGAGUCAGUGGGUUAUCGAUUCAUAAAUAUGAUCCCUACGGGGAAUUUCCCAUCGGCACACCCUUGACCGUUGU
RNAcentral lists this small RNA (85 nucleotides) under Ancylostoma ceylanicum. Its description in RNAcentral is "Nematode sRNA ceN72-3_ceN74-2". It matches the Rfam family "Nematode sRNA ceN72-3_ceN74-2". Lineage: Eukaryota; Metazoa; Nematoda; Chromadorea; Rhabditida; Ancylostomatidae. The record is from Rfam by way of RNAcentral.